UGGUUAGGUCAUGUUGCGCCUGAGUCGAUAUGAAGUUGAACUGAAUUUAACACUACACCGGCAUCCUCCAGUUCAACUUCAUAUCGACUCAGGCGCUACAUGGCCUAAA
RNAcentral lists this microRNA precursor (109 nucleotides) under Xyrichtys novacula (pearly razorfish). The record is from RNAcentral. Lineage: Eukaryota; Metazoa; Chordata; Actinopteri; Labriformes; Labridae.